GAUGAACGCUAGCUACAGGCUUAACACAUGCAAGUCGAGGGGAAACGAUAGAGAAAGCUUGCUUUUUCUAGGCGUCGACCGGCGCACGGGUGAGUAACGCGUAUCCAACCUGCCCACCACUUGGGGAUAACCUUGCGAAAGUAAGACUAAUACCCAAUGAUAUCUCUAGAAGACAUCUGAACGGGAUUAAAGAUUUAUCGGUGAUGGAUGGGGAUGCGUCUGAUUAGCUUGUUGGCGGGGUAACGGCCCACCAAGGCUACGAUCAGUAGGGGUUCUGGGAGGAAGGUCCCCCACAUUGGAACUGAGACACGGUCCAAACUCCUACGGGAGGCAGCAGUGAGGAGUAUUGGUCAAUGGACGAGAGUCUGAACCAGCCAAGUAGCGUGCAGGAUGACGGCCCUAUGGGUUGUAAACUGCUUUUAUAAGGGAAUAAAGUGAGUCUCGUGAGACUUUUUGCAUGUACCUUAUGAAUAAGGACCGGCUAAUUCCGUGCCAGCCGCCGCCGUAA
Molecule: ribosomal RNA, 508 nt
Filed under: uncultured bacterium
Lineage: Bacteria
Description: partial 16S ribosomal RNA
Rfam family: Bacterial small subunit ribosomal RNA
Source: RNAcentral